AGCCUCUAACGUCUACACACUCCAGGAAAUAUUAUCUACUGGAGGAUUAUGGUCAUUAUGUACAUAUCUUAAAUGAAACGUGACAAUCCACGGUAUGCUGCAGGAAGUUCAGUUGGGAAGCAGACAACGGCAUAAUUAAAGGACUCUCAGCUGAGUUAGAAAGGCAGAGCACAGGUCCAGAAAGAGAAGCUGUGGUCCACUGACCCUUUGCAAGUCAAGAAGGUAUUUUUCAUCCCUUGUUUUUUCAAAAUGAUACCUGAAUUUCAAAUUUCACAGUGUGGGUUGAUUUCUCACUGUCAUCAGUUUCAAUUAUAGCAGAUUCUGCACCAAAGCCAUGGUUGUUAUGCAUCAUACUCUCAUGACUGGGAAAACUAGGACUCCAUCUGCAUUUCAUGUUAUAAUGUCCAAUCUUCUUCCAGCAAACAUUUAGCUCUUGCAGAGCUUUAAGAACUUCAGUUAUUAUUUCUCGUGGAUGUGCUCGAGACUACCAAGGGCCCAUUUCCUGUCAGCUGCGAAAUGAUGCCUCAAGCCAAACCCAGGAGAUUCCAUAUGCCCAUGCUGCCGAUGAUCAGUGGCUGAGUUUGGUGUCUCAGCUGGAAGAGAGAGAUGAGUUGACAUACCAUAGAUUCAUGGAACUCAGCUCCAAGGUAGCCACUGGUUGUGCGCAGCCUAUUGUCCAAUAGUAAAUAGUAGGCAACUCAAACACCUCGUUUUGCAGUCUCUUGUGAAGUGAUUCGAUUAGCUGAUUCUUGUCAAACCCCAUAUUGAUAACAUCAUUCAGAGUUUCAUCCAUGUUACCUUUUUAACCUGUUGUGCAGUGUCAGGAGGUGGCACAGCUAAAUAACGCGGAAGACCAACUGUGAACCACUGAUGUUCACGGAUUUCACGUAUGGUGAUCCUCUUCAUGGGAUCAACAACAAGCAUUCUGGGAAUCAAAUCCCUUGCCAAAGGUGACAAAUGACUGGGAAGGGAUAUAUCACAUCUUUGCUAACCUUUAUUUUCUUAAAAAGGUUGGGAAUAUUCUCGUCAUCAAAUGGAAGGGUACCACAAAGAAGAGCAUAAAGAAUAACACCACAACUCCACACAUCAACUUCAGGGCCAGCAUAUAGUUUACCAGAUAUCACCUAGUGCUGCAUAAUUUGGGCUACCACAACUUGUCUUCAGAAAGUGACCAUCACGCAUAACAUUACUCAAGCCAAAGUCUGCAAUCUUAACAUUGCAUUUGGAGUCCAAAAGAAGGUUCUCUGGCUUAAGAUCACGAUGAACCACCAUGUUUCUAUGGCAAUAUUCAACACCAGAUAUGAUCUGCUGGAAAAAGCGUCGAGCUUCUUCCUCUUGCAGUCUUCCCUUCUCAACGAUGUAAUCAAACAACUCUCCAGAUUUGACAUACUCCAUAACAACAUAAAUAUCAGCUGGGGUGUCUAUCACCUCAUAAAGGCGAAUGAUAUGUGGGUGCAUAAAUAAUCUAAGUAUCUUGAUUUCUCUUUUAACUUUCUCUUCCAUCUCCAUGCUCUUGAUCUUACGGCGAUUGAGGAUCUUGAUUGCCACCUUGUGACCAGUCAAUAUAUGCUCCGCGAUCUUCACUUUGCCAAAUGACCCAAUCCCUAGGGUUUUGCCAAUCCGGUAACCGCCAAGAGGGUUCCCAUCUCUGCCAGCUCCCUCCAUCUUCUACCUAAGGGGGGGGGGCUCCUACCUGACCUCCGGCGCGCCGCGGACGAGGGGGAGGGGCGGCGGCGAGCAGG
This 1742-nucleotide small RNA is filed under the name Oryza sativa Japonica Group (Japanese rice). Its description in RNAcentral is "sRNA Os05g0530600". Lineage: Eukaryota; Viridiplantae; Streptophyta; Magnoliopsida; Poales; Poaceae. The record is from RNAcentral.